This is a long non-coding RNA of Pipra filicauda (Wire-tailed manakin), 6012 nucleotides long. RefSeq lists it as uncharacterized. Lineage: Eukaryota; Metazoa; Chordata; Aves; Passeriformes; Pipridae. The record is from RefSeq and is a predicted model, not a curated record. The transcript is spliced from 3 exons.
CCCGCCCGCAGCGGGUCCCGCGGACGUCGCGCGCCGCUCCCCUGAGGCACCGAGCGGGAGGGGCGCUGGGAAGGAAGGAAGGAAGCGGGGCACGGGUUGUGCUGUGAGGCUGUGCUGGCCCCCGGGGGUACCCUGGGGGGGGGGGGAACAGGGCUUUACCCCGCUACCCGUAGCUGCUCCAAACCUACCGCCCGUCGGUACCUGCGCGCGGGGACUGGCCCUGUCCUUUCCUUUCUACUUGCGUUUAUAGUCAGUCCUCCUUGCACAGACGGCAUUAUUCACCUUCCUUUAGGGAGGUUCACAGAAUAGCCGGAGUUGGAAGAGACUUCUGGAGAUCAUCCAGUCCAACCCCCCUGCCAGGGCAGGGUCACCCAGAGCAGGUGACACAGGAAUGCGUCCCGGGGGCUUUGGAAUGUCCCCAGAGAGGGAGACUUCACAGCCUCCCUAGGCAGCCUGUUCCAGUGUGCUGCCACCCUCAACGUAAGGAGGCUCUUCCUCAUGUUGAGGUGGGACAUGCGUUUUAGUUUAUGGCCAUUGCCCCUCGUCUUAUCGUUGGGCUCCGCUGAAAAGAGUCUGGCACCAUCCUCUUGGCACCUGCCUGUGAGAUCUUUAUUGAUGGGAUCCCCUCUCGGUCAUCUCUUCUCUAGGUUAACCACUAGGUUGGUAGUAUAUCAAAAUAAAAAGGUAUCUGCCCCCGUGGAGCUCUCAAUGCCGCAGUCCUGCGCACCUCCCUCGGGACAGGGUUUAACUGAACUGUUCCAAAAGAUCACACCUUGCCGACGGAGCUGCUUUUAACAAAUUAACAUCUCAAUGUGCCGAAGGUUGAGUGGCAAAGUCAAUAAAACAGCCAUUUGUUUCUAUAGAAACUGAACACCUUAGCAGAGAUUGUACCAAGCUCUGAUUUUGAUGGUUUCUUCCACCCCCCACGCCCCCUCACCCCGGAAUUUGCUGCUUUUGCAGCCUUCUCUUGCCUGUUUUCAGGAAAUCAGAAAUUUGGAAAACUGGCUUGGAAUUUUUUAGCAUGUGAGGAAUGCUGGCAAUCACAUGAUAACGGUACCAAAAAACCUCUAGAACCUAGUUCAGUGAGCUAGAAUUAAUUUCUGAUGCUGCAUAAUCAUGCACCCUGAAAAUCUCAGUUUGUUCCUCCACUUUCAGAUCGUAAGGACCUUUGCAACUCCCCAUCUUCCAUUCCCCCUUCUCCUAAGAUCUUUCUCCAGUACAGCCGAAAGGAGCUAAUCCAAGAAUCAGCUGAUGCAGCUGCUUGCUGCCCAGAGAUUUGGGGAGUUUCUGCGGGGUUUUUUUCCAACACGACUAUCAUUAACAUGAGGAAAUGUAGUAAGAAAAGAAAUAUUCAAUUGGUGCGUUCCAGAUUUCUUGUUCUCAGAUGAAGUUUCCCUGUUUGUUCUGUUCUCAAGUGACAGGGAUAUUGAAAUGGCUUCAGGAAUACAAAUAAGUAAUUUAGCUUAUCCUGGGACGAAAAUCCUAACAGGUUUCUGGAAAUACACAAGGCAUGAAAUGGGACUCAUUCUGUUUGGUAAUGCAACAGUGCAGUAGCUGUGCUUUUAAAAACUAGUAGGUCCAUGAAUACCUUUUUUUUUUCUCUGUUAGGACAGAGUUUCUGGAUUACUUAGUUCUGAGUCUGGUUGUACCAAAGUUUGUUAGCUUUGCUCUGCUUUUUCCUUCUCCUUUUUUGUUCUCAGCGUCAGUCUUUAUGCUUCCCCUGAAAACAUGGUGCUUAUUGUAGUGAGAGAGUCUUCUAAGUUGUCUUGACCUCAGUCAUUUUAUCAGAAUCACUUGAAUGUUUUGAUAACCACCUGAAAAGUCUUACUUCUCAGUUCAAUUUUUUUUUCCCAGACAAAAAAUAGAGGAUUUUCCUUUGACAGUCAUUCUUCUUUUCCAUUGAAUAGUAGGAAAACGGGUCACAUGAAUUCCUGCAGAGCCCUUGAAAAUGCUGUCAAGAAUUUUUUGUAAGGUUUGGGAAGUUCCAGGUAUUUAUGUUGGGUUUUGUGUCCAAGAUCUAGUUCUCCAAAGCAUUUACAUUUCCAAAUGCUGUAAUUUGUGCAUUGGAAUUCUCUUAGGAGCUGGGCAUAAAGAAGAGAUUUUCAUUACUCACUUCCUUCCAACAUUAAUACACAAGCUUUAAAACUUAAUGGGUUAUGGAAACCUCUUAGAUACAGGAAGAGAGCUGGGAAGGCCCAAAGAGGGCACACAUCUGUUAGACCUCAGCAGUCUGCUGCUGGCAUUGCCAGGUAGUCCUUUUCUGUAGUUUUAUUUACAUUAUGUCUGAAUCCCAGUUUUAGCCAUUGCUUGUGGCUUUGCCAAUGCAAACACUCAGCAUGAGCAAAAAUGAAAAAAAAAAUUUAAAAUGGAUUCCACUGGAACUUGGGUUCAGAGCCAGAAUAAACUUGAGUAGUGCAAGUGUCAGCUUUUAUUCACACUCAGAGUUUGUAUUGCUGUCUAAAAUGGCAACUAACCCUAAGCAUAGGUGAGAGGACACAAACCCAAGUGCUCAGCUGACGAUGUUGUUAGUCUAACAGGACUUUGGAACAUGGAAGAAGUUCCAGCACACCAUCAGAAGCGCCCAUACUUCCCUAACAGGGAUGUGAGACUGCAUCUUGCUGCUUGACUUUUGGAAGUGGCAGCUCAUUGAACGCCUGCCUUGUCUACUGCUGCAGUUCUUGGAAGAUAAUUUGGCAGCUCCCACAGAGGCACUUAUGAACACCUCUUCCUUCUGACUGGGCAUCCAGGACAUCUCUUCUUGUCCAGUCCCCGCCACAAAGUUCACAUGAUCACUUUUAUGUGCGUACACCAGACCUGUCCACUGACAAAUGCAGCUGAGCAUGGCAAGAGGAGCUCACCAGCCAUCCCGGGCACUGUGCAGGAGCCAAAUGUCCUGGGGAGAGAGGCUGUGGGCAGCCACCUUGUGCAACUGUCCCUGUAAGAAGGUGUGAGCAGAGCUGAUGUGCACAGUGUACACGAGCCUGUGCCUUGUUCCAUCUGUGUGGAGAGAAGCUGUCACGGAAAUGAUGGGAGGCUGGCAAAGAGACCUGACUGCCAAAGGAAGACACUGUUAGUAGCCUGGAGUGUGCAGCCGAUGUUGAAGAGUGGUAUAAAUUUAAUUGGUAACUCAUUUCUUAUUAAAACUGACAGAUUUUUUUCUUCCUAGCAGAACAGACAAGAGUGGAAAGGUUUCACAUAAUCACUGAUUUCACUGAAACUUGACAGCAUUAUCAAGCCCUUUAAAUCUUUUUCAAUUUUAUAUGAAUCCCAUAAAAUAUCAAAACACCAGCAUGUAAACAAAGGACUUCAAUAAGCUUUGUUUGGUAUUUCUAUUGUAUUCCAAUUUGGAAUGAAAGGAGAUGUGAAAUAAUCAACUUUCCCAAGAAAAUGUGAUAUCUGAAACUGUCAAGGAGUCCAGUGACCCCUGCUGAUGGACAAGUCACCUCCUGAAAAGUAUCCUCCUGCUGCAACAAAUCCAGCACACCUGCCACAAAGGGAAUUCUUGUUCACAUCCUAUCGGAUGCUCGGGGUCACCCUCCAGGGUGGCAGCUCCAAUUGCUAAUACUGUGUUUUGGAGAGGUACUUUCUGAAGCACACUUAUGGAAAUGUAGCGGUCUUCACUGAUGCUUGAGUAACACAGGCACAUCUCUGACAAGUGGGUAGGCCUUAGCUUCAUCCUGCAGAAGAGAAAACAAAAGACACAUGCAAACUCUUUUCUGCUGAAGAGAACAUGGAUACUGGAGAAAUGAGAGUUCUCAUUUAAAAAGUUCUCUCUCACACUGCACUAGCACAUUGAUUUCUACUCCUGCAGCAAAGCUGGGUUUCAUUUGUAGGGGACUGACCUGGACAGAAGCAGAUGUCAGACUGAAAACUAACAACAUCAAAUGCACUUUUUCAUACCAAACAACAUUUUGUUUAUUUACACUUGAGUGGACAAGAUACCUGCAACAAAAGAACAAGACCCAGCAAAUACACUACAUACUGAACUGCACAGGCACCAGUGGCUUUUGGUACUUGUUCUCAGAUGGGGGUUUGUACCCCGCGGGUGUUGUGCACAGCUGGAUAAUACCCACCUCUCCCAUUCGUCCACCUGAGAGCUGGAAAGCACAGUCUUCAGCUGCUCCACAAUUUACAUCUCUUCUGAGUGCUCAGUUUGCUGAGCUAUUUGAACUAAAUGGGAGCAGUAGGAAUACAGUAAUGUUGGCUGAAAACAAAAGCUGAAGCAAGGGGAUUUUCAGAGCAGCUUUAGUGCCUGAAAACUGCUGCAAUCCUGUUUGUGCUAGGUGAUGUGGAGUCCUGUAAAUGACUGGUUGUGACAGAGAGAAAAAAAAAUCAAUUCAUCAGCAGGCCGUUCUCUUUAAGCAUUGCAACAGCUUUCAGAUACUACCUUUGGGAAGAGUGGAUUGGCUUGAUGGAGGGAGUGAGGAGCUCUGCCAUAGCAUCACCCCCUCCAAAUGUGCAUGAUAGCAAGCAGCCGCUGCGAGUGUAUCUUCCAAGUGGUCUGCACAGCCCCACUAGUGUGAGAGCAAUGGCAGGGGGCACAGCCAGGCCAGGCCCCCCACAUCACAGGGGCAAUGAGCAGGCAAAAAGCCAGAUCUAGCAGGGAGAAUUUGGAACAUUUUGGGGUUAGAAGAGGCUCAAGAAAGGGCAAGCUUGAUGAAUGAACACAACUGACAUGACAUGGAAGGCACACCAUGGGCUCUUGCUCUCCAAGGCGUGAUGCUGCAGGAUGUUUUGGUCAAGAUCCUGUGUACUUAUGGGAUAAAGCAUCUUUAGCAACAAUGCUAAGUACCAUGGCGCCCUGAAAUGUGCUGGCAAAAGACCUGUCACUGCUUUAAUUGUAUUCAAACAUGCAGAGUUAGAGUGAAUAAUACCAUGAGCAGGUAAGGAAUUGAUUAACUAGUUUGCUAUGAAAAGGAAGGGUGACACUCAUUUUCUUCUACCUGGACUGUUUAGACAAACCUUGUUAUGAAGAAGGACAUUUGUUCAUUUAGGUGUAAGAAAGCAUAGUCCUGCCUCUCAGAUCCUCGCCACUAUGUGCCAGUGGGAGAGCAGGAGUGGAAGAGAGCCCAGGAUGAUGAAGGAAAACAAGGAAAAGACAACUUUUUAAAAGUUGACUAGGCAUCAGUGUGUCUGAACAGCAGUGUGAGGAGUCAGUGCAAAACAUUCAAUGAAUCAUUUAAAUUUGCACUGGAGGAAUUCAAUCGCUCCAUUAUGAAUUUCAAGUGGAGAAAGGAUUCCUUGAAGAAAUACAUAAAAAGCAGUUAUUGAUAUAACACGAAUAUUUUUUCCCAUGAAGGUUAAAGAGUGUUAAAUAUGUCAGUAAAACCAAGAGAACAUCAAAGGAUAUCUCAUUUGCAUAAACAGUGUGUUGGCAAUCCAGAAAUACCAUUUCCAGGAGUUAUUCCUCAGGUUUGUAUGGGAAGUCAGUGCUGCUCCAAGGAGCAGGAGGCUGAGCUGGAGCCUUUCGCCCUAGGUCUGCUCUAAGGCUUUCAGCAAUACUUGGCUGGACACCUAGGUGCACAGUUACAUGGCUAAUUACUUCUGUUCCAUAUGGAAAUUAGGAGAGGGGAAAAUGAUCGUUAUUAUCCAUAUUGGUUACCUGAUUGCAGUGUGUGGCUGAAGUGCUCUGUGUGCAAUUGCACUCUCAUCAUUUAAACAGCAUCUGGCUGGUCCAAACUGGGCUUAAAGUGAUAUCCUUACACCCCACUUAAGAAGGCAUUUGGAGUGUUAAGAGAUUCUGGAUGAUACCUGUAAAUCAGUACAUCAGACAUUGUCAAAACUUGACAGGUCUGAAAAUAUAUUGACCAAACUCUGAAUUGAUCAGUUCUUGCUGAACUUGAUCUGUUCUUGCUCAAAAGAAAUCAAGAGAUUUCUUUGAAAGAAAUGGUCAAUUUUGAAAGAAUGGUCAAUUCAGUCAUUAUGUCUGAAAGGACAAUGAAGGCCGCAGUGCUCCAGCCCUGGGAGUUAGAUUUCGGGGUUUUGGGGUUGGGUUUUUUGGUUGUGGGGGGC